Molecule: ribosomal RNA, 239 nt
Filed under: Candidatus Saccharibacteria bacterium CG_4_9_14_0_2_um_filter_41_9
Lineage: Bacteria; Candidatus Saccharimonadota
Description: partial 23S ribosomal RNA
Rfam family: Bacterial large subunit ribosomal RNA
Source: RNAcentral
AAGGUACUCAAGAGCACACAAUGGAUGCCUAGACGUAUAUUACCGAAGAAGGACGCGGAAGACUGCGAAAAGUCUCGGGGAGCUGUCAACAAGCUUUGAUCCGGGAAUGUCCGAAUGGGGAAACCCAGUACGAGUCAUGUCGUAUUAUCUGUCUCUGAAUAUAUAGGAGAUUUGACGGGAACCAACUGAACUGAAACAUCUUAGUAGGUUGAGGAAGAGAAAAUAAAUAAUGAUUCCGG